UCCCAUGUGACAAAUGUGCACUGUUCACUUUCAUUUUCCAUUCUGCAGUAGGAGUUCCAGCUCCCUUCCUGCAUGUUUCAGAAGCAAAUCAAGAGCAAAUCACAGACUUUUGGUCACCGAUAGGUUUUGAACUUGGGAAAGCAAACAAUGGGGAAAGAACAGAGUAAGCUAGCACAGGAAGGCUAUGUGCUAUCAAAACAAGCUGAAGACUGUGCUAUUGCCACUAAAGGAAAUGAUUCUUUUUUCAUUAAGAUGAUUAAUCUAAAUCAGCUACCCAGUGAAGCUGUUACUACCUUAACUUCAGAGAUUGAAACUCUCCAGAAAUUAAACCACCCUCACGUUGUGGACAUGAAGCAAUCAUUUAAAGAUGUGCAACAAAGCAUUUAUUAUGUCGU
Nothobranchius furzeri (turquoise killifish) is the source of this 395-nucleotide non-coding RNA. NCBI's taxonomy places the organism in Eukaryota, Metazoa, Chordata, Actinopteri, Cyprinodontiformes, Nothobranchiidae. The record is from RefSeq and is a predicted model, not a curated record.